GACGAACGCUGGCGGCGUGCCUAACACAUGCAAGUCGAACGGAAAGGCCCUGCUUUUGUGGGGUGCUCGAUUGGCGAACGGGUGAGUAACAUGUGAGCAACCUGCCCUUGACUUUGGGAUAAUUUUAGGAAACUGGGGCUAAUACCGGAUAGGAGCUCCUGCUGCAUUGUGGGGGUUGGAAAGUUGAGGCGGUUGGGGAUGGACUCGCGGCUUAUCAGCUUGUUGUGGGGGUAGUGGCGUACCAAGGCUUUGACGGGUAGCCGGCCUGGGAGGGUGACCGGCCACAUUAGGACUGGAAUGCGACCCAGACUCCAACGGGAGGCGACGGUGGAGAGUGUUGCCCAAUGGGAGGGAGCCUGAUGCGACAACGCCACGUGCGGGAUGACGGCCUUCGGGUUGUGAACCGCUUUCGCCUGUGACGAAGCGUGAGUGACGGUAAUGGGUAAAGAAGCACCGGCUAACUACGUG
RNAcentral lists this ribosomal RNA (468 nucleotides) under uncultured bacterium. RNAcentral describes it as "partial 16S ribosomal RNA". It matches the Rfam family "Bacterial small subunit ribosomal RNA", at positions 28 to 507 of the family's 1533-position model. The record is from RNAcentral.